Molecule: unclassified non-coding RNA, 376 nt
Filed under: uncultured Terriglobales bacterium
Lineage: Bacteria; Pseudomonadati; Acidobacteriota; Terriglobia; Terriglobales
Description: uncultured Acidobacteriales bacterium contains 16S-23S intergenic spacer region
Source: RNAcentral
UCCGGUUUAUCACCGGCAGUCUCGCCAGAGUGCCCAACUGAAUGAUGGCAACUGGCAAUAAGGGUUGCGCUCGUUGCGGGACUUAACCCAACAUCUCACGACACGAGCUGACGACAGCCAUGCAGCACCUAUAUAGCACCCCUUGCGGGAAGGGAUAUUUCUACCCCGAUGCACUACAUUUCGAGCCCAGGUAAGGUUCUUCGCGUUGCGUCGAAUUGAACCACAUGCUCCACCGCUUGUGCGGGCCCCCGUCAAUUCCUUUGAGUUUCAGUCUUGCGACCGUACUCCCCAGGCGGAUUGCUUAUCGCGUUAGCUGCGGCACGAUCGGAUUGGGUACCGAUCACACCAAGCAAUCAUCGUUUAGGGCUAGGACUAC